This 102-nucleotide non-coding RNA is filed under the name Orenia metallireducens. RNAcentral describes it as "SAM riboswitch aptamer (S box leader)". It matches the Rfam family "SAM riboswitch aptamer (S box leader)". Rfam says of the family: The SAM riboswitch is found upstream of a number of genes which code for proteins involved in methionine or cysteine biosynthesis in Gram-positive bacteria. Lineage: Bacteria; Bacillati; Bacillota; Clostridia; Halanaerobiales; Halobacteroidaceae. RNAcentral also lists the same sequence under 1 other name. The record is from Rfam by way of RNAcentral.
GAUACAUCAAGAGUAGUGGAGGGACAGGCCCUAUGAAGCUCGGCAACCACCUAUAAGGGAAAGGUGCUAAUUCCUACAAGGAAAUACCUUGGGAGAUGUUCA